Molecule: ribosomal RNA, 459 nt
Filed under: uncultured bacterium
Lineage: Bacteria
Description: partial 16S ribosomal RNA
Rfam family: Bacterial small subunit ribosomal RNA
Source: RNAcentral
GAUGAAUGCUGGCGGCGCGCCUAACACAUGCAAGUCGAGCGGAAAGGCCCUUCGGGGUACUCGAGCGGCGGACGGCUGAGUAACGCGUGGGAACAUGCCCCAAAGUGAGGAAUAACUGCCCGAAAGGGUAGCUAAUGCCGCAUAUGAUCUUCGGAUUAAAGGAUUUAUCCGCUUUGGGAGUGGCCCGCGUACGAUUAGGUAGUUGGUGAGGUAAAGGCUCACCAAGCCUACGAUCGUUAACUGGUCUGAGAGGAUGAUCAGUCAGACUGGAACUGAGACACGGUCCAGACUCCUACGGGAGGCAGCAGUGAGGAAUCUUCCACAAUGGGCGAAAGCCUGAUGGAGCGACGCCGCGUGCAGGAUGAAGGCCUUCGGGUUGUAAACUGCUUUUAUAAGUGAAGAAUAUGACGGUAACUUAUGAAUAAGCACCGGCUAACUACGUGCCAGCAGCCGCGGUAA